GCCUGGCUGGCUCAGUAGGUAGAGCACACGACUCUUGAUCUCAGGAUUGUGAGUUCAAGUCCCACGUUGGGUG
Molecule: transfer RNA, 73 nt
Filed under: Ailuropoda melanoleuca (giant panda)
Lineage: Eukaryota; Metazoa; Chordata; Mammalia; Carnivora; Ursidae
Rfam family: tRNA
About the family: Transfer RNA (tRNA) molecules are approximately 80 nucleotides in length. Their secondary structure includes four short double-helical elements and three loops (D, anti-codon, and T loops). Further hydrogen bonds mediate the characteristic L-shaped molecular structure. tRNAs have two regions of fundamental functional importance: the anti-codon, which is responsible for specific mRNA codon recognition, and the 3' end, to which the tRNAs corresponding amino acid is attached (by aminoacyl-tRNA synthetases). tRNAs cope with the degeneracy of the genetic code in two manners: having more than one tRNA (with a specific anti-codon) for a particular amino acid; and 'wobble' base-pairing, i.e. permitting non-standard base-pairing at the 3rd anti-codon position.
Source: Rfam by way of RNAcentral